Molecule: non-coding RNA, 509 nt
Filed under: Drosophila sechellia
Lineage: Eukaryota; Metazoa; Arthropoda; Insecta; Diptera; Drosophilidae
Description: Eukaryotic large subunit ribosomal RNA
Rfam family: Eukaryotic large subunit ribosomal RNA
Source: Rfam by way of RNAcentral
CAACCUCAACUCAUAUGGGACUACCCCCUGAAUUUAAGCAUAUUAAUUAGGGGAGGAAAAGAAACUAACAAGGAUUUUCUUAGUAGCGGCGAGCGAAAAGAAAACAGUUCAGCACUAAGUCACUUUGUCUAUAUGGCAAAUGUGAGAUGCAGUGUAUGGAGCGUCAAUAUUCUAGUAUGAGAAAUUAAUGAUUUAAGUCCUUCUUAAAUGAGGCCAUUUACCCAUAGAGGGUGCCAGGCCCGUAUAACGUUAAUGAUUGCUAGAUGAUGUUUCCAAAGAGUCGUGUUGCUUGAUAGUGCAGCACUAAGUGGGUGGUAAACUCCAUCUAAAACUAAAUAUAACCAUGAGACCGAUAGUAAACAAGUACCGUGAGGGAAAGUUGAAAAGAACUCUGAAUAGAGAGUUAAACAGUACGUGAAACUGCUUAGAGGUUAAGCCCGAUGAACCUGAUAUCCGUUAUGGAAAAUUCAUCAUUAAAAUUGUAUAUUUAAUAUAUUAUAAGAAUAAUG